GAAAUGCGAUAAGUAGUGUGAAUUGCAGAAUUCAGUGAAUCAUCGAAUCUUUGAACGCACAUUGCGCCCCUCGGUAUUCCGUGGGGCAUGCCUGUUCGAGCGUCAUCUACACCCUCAGGACCCCCCUUUCGCGGGGAGGGACCUGGCGUUGGGGAUCGGCCCGCCCCCCGUGGCGGCGCCGUCCCCGAAAUCUAGUGGCGGUCUCGCUGCAGCCUCCCCUGCGUAGUAGUUACAACCUCGCAUCGGAGCGCGGCGCGGCCACGCCGUAAAACCCCCGACUUUCUGAACGUUGACCUCGGAUCAGGUAGGAAUACCCGCUGAACUUAAGC
RNAcentral lists this unclassified non-coding RNA (329 nucleotides) under plant metagenome. RNAcentral describes it as "partial contains 5.8S ribosomal RNA, internal transcribed spacer 2, and large subunit ribosomal RNA". The stretch from base 1 to 105 matches the Rfam family "5.8S ribosomal RNA", at positions 50 to 154 of the family's 154-position model. The record is from RNAcentral.